AAGAAAAGAAAACCUACGUAGGCAGAGAAACCCUCCCUACAUCAAUUAAGGAAAAGGGGUCACAUUGGUGCACAGACCGUAUGACCCCCCCACCACGAAGUUCAGACUAAGAGAAGCACGACAAGCAGUGAAAGAGGACAGGUUCAGCAACAGAGAGCAAGAUGAAAUCUAAAAGACUGCAGUUCCAGACCUUCAACAGCAAGCAGAGUCAGCACAGUCAGCCUUCCAACCAAGGAAAACCUUUGCCCAGGCUGUGCACAUGACAAUGGCCUCAGUCACCUCAGCGCCCCUAGGGCCGACAAAUUAAGUGCAUGCC
This 316-nucleotide long non-coding RNA is filed under the name Dunaliella salina. Its description in RNAcentral is "long non-coding RNA (DSAL_LNC000099)". The record is from RNAcentral. Lineage: Eukaryota; Viridiplantae; Chlorophyta; Chlorophyceae; Chlamydomonadales; Dunaliellaceae.